Molecule: ribosomal RNA, 253 nt
Filed under: uncultured bacterium
Lineage: Bacteria
Description: partial 16S ribosomal RNA
Rfam family: Bacterial small subunit ribosomal RNA
Source: RNAcentral
UACGAAGGGUGCAAGCGUUACUCGGAAUUACUGGGCGUAAAGCGUGCGUAGGUGGUUUGUUAAGUCUGUUGUGAAAGCCCCGGGCUCAACCUGAGAAUGGCAAUGGAUACUGGCAGGCUAGAGUGCGGUAGAGGGUAGUGGAAUUCCCGGUGUAGCGGUGAAAUGCGUAGAGAUCGGGAGGAACACCAGUGGCGAAGGCGGCUACCUGGACCAGCACUGACACUGAGGCACGAAAGCGUGGGGAGCAAACAGG